GGAUAUGAAGGUUUGGUAAGUUCCGAACAAUCCGGCAAGAUGUAAAACUGUUUAACUUAUCCAUGAGGGGUAAAAGGCAAUUGGUACCACAUGCAUUAGUCGUGUCUAGGGAUUGCAUGACAUAGAAUGAUUGGCAUUAGAUACAUCAGGGUAAAUGCGCAUAUAUUUGAUAAAUGGUAUGUGACAUUAUCUGGUUGAACUGUGUUAAACUUUAUUAAUUGAUAACUGUUUAAUACGACGUUUUG
Molecule: long non-coding RNA, 245 nt
Filed under: Trifolium pratense (red clover)
Lineage: Eukaryota; Viridiplantae; Streptophyta; Magnoliopsida; Fabales; Fabaceae
Description: long non-coding RNA (TPRA_LNC006921)
Source: RNAcentral